RNAcentral lists this ribosomal RNA (158 nucleotides) under Peniophora sp. X-34. Its description in RNAcentral is "5.8S ribosomal RNA". It matches the Rfam family "5.8S ribosomal RNA". Rfam says of the family: 5.8S ribosomal RNA (5.8S rRNA) is a component of the large subunit of the eukaryotic ribosome. The record is from RNAcentral. Lineage: Eukaryota; Fungi; Basidiomycota; Agaricomycetes; Russulales; Peniophoraceae.
UAACUUUCAACAACGGAUCUCUUGGCUCUCGCAUCGAUGAAGAACGCAGCGAAAUGCGAUAAGUAAUGUGAAUUGCAGAAUUCAGUGAAUCAUCGAAUCUUUGAACGCACCUUGCGCCCUUUGGCAUUCCGAAGGGCACGCCUGUUUGAGUGUCGUGA